GACGAAGAUGCGAAGCCCAGGUUCCUCUUCCACUCUCGCGCCAAUCCAUCUUCGCCGCCGGAGCUCCAAACCGAUUCGCAAUCCAGCAAGCUUUUUCUCUCAAUCACCGUCGUAAUCUCUUCCAUUUUUCUCAUUCUCUCAAUUUUAUUCGUCCAAUUCGAACCCUUCAGAUCCCUUCUCAUCUGGCUUUCUCUCUCCCUUCUUCUCGGCCCUUU
This 215-nucleotide unclassified non-coding RNA is filed under the name Hevea brasiliensis (rubber tree). The record is from RNAcentral. Lineage: Eukaryota; Viridiplantae; Streptophyta; Magnoliopsida; Malpighiales; Euphorbiaceae.